UUAAAUUGAAGAGUUUGAUCAUGGCUCAGAUUGAACGCUGGCGGCAGGCCUAACACAUGCAAGUCGAACGGUAACAGGAAGMAGCUUGCUKCUUYGCUGACGAGUGGCGGACGGGUGAGUAAUGUCUGGGAAACUGCCUGAUGGAGGGGGAUAACUACUGGAAACGGUAGCUAAUACCGCAUAAYGUCGCAAGACCAAAGAGGGGGGACCUUCGGGCCUCUUGCCAUCGGAUGUGCCCAGAUGGGAUUAGCUWGUWGGUGGGG
RNAcentral lists this ribosomal RNA (263 nucleotides) under Escherichia coli. Its description in RNAcentral is "partial 16S ribosomal RNA". It matches the Rfam family "Bacterial small subunit ribosomal RNA", at positions 1 to 257 of the family's 1533-position model. The record is from RNAcentral. Lineage: Bacteria; Pseudomonadati; Pseudomonadota; Gammaproteobacteria; Enterobacterales; Enterobacteriaceae.